This is a long non-coding RNA of Ochotona princeps (American pika), 723 nucleotides long. RefSeq lists it as uncharacterized. Lineage: Eukaryota; Metazoa; Chordata; Mammalia; Lagomorpha; Ochotonidae. The record is from RefSeq and is a predicted model, not a curated record. The transcript has 6 exons.
GAUGGUGCUUCUAUGACUAGGACAUAACUUUGGUGAAUAGAUGUAUGUAAGACUGUGUAGUGCUGGGAGAGCUGUUGCUGGGUCACAAGAUCACAUGACCACGAAGACUACACUUGAUUCCAUCCUAGGCUGUUGAAGUUUUGAGAGUGGAUUCCUACCUGUGGUGGAUGGUGUCCAUUUAGAAGAAAGAACCACUGAAAAUGAAAAUGGCAGACUGAUGAAAAUGAAAGGAAGCUUUUGUAUCAGUUUGUUCUGUUAUUUCUGUCUCCAUGAGACAUCCUCUUAUUUACACUCCAUGGCAUGGAAUGCACACGUCUAGCAAGAAGCCUGAAAACUCUUUGGUGUCUGUUUGUCAUGUAGAACUCCAUUUAUCACGGUCCAGUGGAGAAGUUCUUUUGAGGUCAAGUGUCAGGUAUUAAUCUCAAGUGGAUUCCUGAUUAAAUCAUCUACAUUAUUGCUAUACAUCACAAUCGACUUCAUUAAGUACUGGGGCAGAAUUUUGGAACAGGAUCAUUUUCUUGCUGGGAAAUUGAAUUCUAUUCACUGAUGGGUAGAACAUUAGGUGGGAGCAACUGAAGUACCUGAGCCCUCAUCAUCCAUGCCUCCUCGGACGGGCAUCAGCAGGACACUCGGCCUGCCGGAGAGCCCAGACUCAUCAAACCUAAUGUGGCAUGAGAACAACUCAAACCUCAGUUUAACUGUCAAGCCAAACUGCCUUCAUAA